GGACGGAUAAGGCGUUUUACGCCGCAUCCGGCAUUCAGUGCCUGAUGCGACGCUGACGCGUCUUAUCAGGCC
RNAcentral lists this non-coding RNA (72 nucleotides) under Escherichia coli. Its description in RNAcentral is "Nucleoid-associated noncoding RNA 4 (CssrE)". It matches the Rfam family "Nucleoid-associated noncoding RNA 4 (CssrE)". Rfam says of the family: In E. coli small RNA transcribed from repeated extragenic palindromic element (REP325) called nucleoid-associated ncRNA 4 (nRNA4) collaborates HU protein in condensing the DNA. The secondary structure but not the sequence of the RNA is important in nucleoid condensation. RNAcentral also lists the same sequence under 1 other name. The record is from RNAcentral. Lineage: Bacteria; Pseudomonadati; Pseudomonadota; Gammaproteobacteria; Enterobacterales; Enterobacteriaceae.